AAAAUAAGAGUCAGUCAGGCUAGCCAAGGAGACUGCCCAUGAGACCACUCAAAGCCUCGAUAUUUGCUGAUCCUUCAUAGAGGAUAUAGGCAAGUCAUCCUUGGCUACCAGAACUUUAAACCCUUAUUG
Molecule: microRNA precursor, 129 nt
Filed under: Sorghum bicolor (sorghum)
Lineage: Eukaryota; Viridiplantae; Streptophyta; Magnoliopsida; Poales; Poaceae
Source: RNAcentral